Molecule: ribosomal RNA, 660 nt
Filed under: uncultured fungus
Lineage: Eukaryota; Fungi
Description: eukaryotic LSU rRNA
Rfam family: Eukaryotic large subunit ribosomal RNA
Source: RNAcentral
ACCCGCUGAACUUAAGCAUAUCAAUAAGCGGAGGAAAAGAAACUAACAAGGAUUCCCCUAGUAACUGCGAGUGAAGCGGGAAAAGCUCAAAUUUAAAAUCUGGUGGUCUUAGGCCAUCCGAGUUGUAAUCUGGAGAAGUGUCUUCCGUGCUGGACCGUGUAAAAGUCUCUUGGAAUAGAGCAUCAUAGAGGGUGAGAAUCCCGUCUUUGACACGGACUGCCAGUGCUUUGUGAUGCACUUUCAAAGAGUCGCGUUGUUUGGGAAUGCAGCGCAAAAUGGGUGGUAUAUUCCAUCUAAAGCUAAAUAUUGGCGAGAGACCGAUAGCGAACAAGUACCGUGAGGGAAAGAUGAAAAGCACUUUGGAAAGAGAGUUAAACAGUACGUGAAAUUGUUGAAAGGGAAACACUUGAAGUCAGUCGCGUUUGCCGGAACUCAGCCUUGCUCUUUUGCUUGGUGUAUUUUCUGGUAGACGGGCCAGCAUCGAUUUUGGCCGUCGGAUAAGGCUCCAGGGAAUGUGGCACCUCCGGGUGUGUUAUAGCCCUGGUUCACAUACGACGGCUGGGAUCGAGGACCGCAGCACGCCUUUUUGGCCGGGGUUCGCCCACGUCCGUGCUUAGGAUGCUGGCAUAAUGGCUUUAAAUGACCCGUCUUGAAACACGG